This 434-nucleotide ribosomal RNA is filed under the name uncultured bacterium. RNAcentral describes it as "partial 16S ribosomal RNA". It matches the Rfam family "Bacterial small subunit ribosomal RNA", at positions 29 to 507 of the family's 1533-position model. The record is from RNAcentral.
AGCGAACGCUGGCGGCAGGCCUAACACAUGCAAGUCGAACGAACCUUUCGGGGUUAGUGGCGGACGGGUGAGUAACACGUGGGAACGUGCCUUUAGGUUCGGUAUAACUCAGGGAAACUUGUGCUAAUACCGAAUGUGCUCUUCGGGGGAAAGAUUAAUCGCCUCUAGAGCGGCCCGCGUCUGAUUAGCUAGUUGGUUGAGGUAAUGGCUCACCAAGGCGACGAUCAGUAGCUGGUCUGAGAGGAUGAUCAGCCACAUUGGGACUGAGACACGGCCCAAACUCCUACGGGAGGCAGCAGUGGGGAAUCUUGCGCAAUGGGCGAAAGCCUGACGCAGCCAUGCCGCGUGAAUGAUGAAGGUCUUAGGAUUGUAAAAUUCUUUCACCGGGGACGAUAAUGACGGUACCCGGAGAAGAAGCCCCGGCUAACUUCGUG